This 873-nucleotide ribosomal RNA is filed under the name uncultured archaeon. RNAcentral's name for it is "bacterial SSU rRNA". It matches the Rfam family "Archaeal small subunit ribosomal RNA", at positions 1 to 881 of the family's 1478-position model. The record is from RNAcentral.
UUUCCGGUUGAUCCUGCCGGACCUGACUGCUAUCGGAUUGAUACUAAGCCAUGCUAGUCUUUGUAGUAAUACAAGGCAUACGGCUCAGUAACGCGUAGUCAACCUACCCUAUGGACGGGGAUAAUCUCGGGAAACUGAGCAUAAUACCCGGCAGACCACUUAUCCUGGAAUGGUUAGUGGUUAAAAUGAUUCGUCGCCAUAGGAUGGGACUGCGGCCUAUCAGCUUGUUGGUGAGGUAAUGGCCCACCAAGGCGAUUACAGGUACGGGCUCUGAGAGGAGAGGCCCGGAGAUGGGUACUGAGACAAGGACCCAGGCCCUAUGGGGCGCAGCAGGCGAGAAAACUUUGCAAUGUGCGAAAGCACGACAAGGUUAAUCCGAGUGAUUUCUGCUAAAGGAAUCUUUUGUUAGUUCUAAAAAUACCAGUGAAUAAGGGGUGGGCAAGUUCUGGUGUCAGCCGCCGCGGUAAAACCAGCACCUCAAGUGGUCAGGAGGAUUAUUGGGCCUAAAGCAUCCGUAGCCUGUUCUAUAAGUUUGCGGUUAAAUCUAUACGCUCAACGUAUAGGCUGCCGUAAAUACUGUAGAACUAGGGAGUGGGAGAGGUAGACGGUACUCGAUAGGAAGGGGUAAAAUCCUUUGAUCUAUUGAUGACCACCUGUGGCGAAGGCGGUCUACCAGAACACGUUCGACGGUGAGGGAUGAAAGCUGGGGGAGCAAACCGGAUUAGAUACCCGGGUAGUCCCAGCUGUAAACGAUGCAGACUCGAUGAUGCAAUGGCUAGAGCUAUUGCAGUAUCGCAGGGAAGCUGUUAAGUCUGCCGCCUGGGAAGUACGUACGCAAGUAUGAAACUUAAAGGAAUUGGCGGGGGAGCACCA